AUUGAACGCUGGCGGCAUGCUUUACACAUGCAAGUCGAGCGGCAGCGCGGGGGCAACCCUGGCGGCGAGCGGCGAACGGGUGAGUAAUGCAUCGGAACGUAUCCUCGAGUGGGGGAUAACCCAGCGAAAGUUGGGCUAAUACCGCAUGAGCUCUGAGGAGGAAAGCGGGGGACCUGCGAGGGCCUCGCGCUGGAGGAGCGGCCGAUGUCCGAUUAGCUAGUUGGUGGGGUAAAGGCUUACCCAGGCGACGAUCGGUAGCUGGUCUGAGAGGAUGAUCAGCCACACUGGGACUGAGACACGGCCCAGACUCCUACGGGAGGCAGCAGUGGGGAAUUUUGGACAAUGGGGGCAACCCUGAUCCAGCCAUGCCGCGUGAGUGAAGAAGGCCUUCGGGUUGUAAAGCUCUUUCGGACGGAACGAAAUGGGCGGGACUAAUACUCCUGUCUGAUGACGGUACCGUAAGAAGAAGCACCGGCUAACUACGUG
RNAcentral lists this ribosomal RNA (486 nucleotides) under uncultured bacterium. RNAcentral's name for it is "partial 16S ribosomal RNA". It matches the Rfam family "Bacterial small subunit ribosomal RNA", at positions 29 to 507 of the family's 1533-position model. The record is from RNAcentral.